RNAcentral lists this ribosomal RNA (444 nucleotides) under uncultured bacterium. RNAcentral's name for it is "bacterial SSU rRNA". It matches the Rfam family "Bacterial small subunit ribosomal RNA", at positions 355 to 796 of the family's 1533-position model. The record is from RNAcentral.
UGGGGAAUUUUGGACAAUGGGGGCAACCCUGAUCCAGCGACGCCGCGUGGAGGACGAAGGUCUUCGGAUUGUAAACUCCUUUUGUGAGGGAUGAAUGUCUGCGUGAAUAACGCAGAGUGACAGUACUUCAUGAAUAAGCCACGGCUAACUACGUGCCAGCAGCCGCGGUAAUACGUAGGUGGCAAGCGAUACUCGGAAUCACUAGGCGUAAAGCGCAGGUAGGCGGUUCGGUAAGUCUUUUGUGAAAGCUCCCGGCUUAACUGGGAGAGGUCAAAGGAAACUGCCGGGCUAGAGUUUGGUAGGGGAUACUGGAAUUCCUGGUGUAGCGGUGAAAUGCGUAGAUAUCAGGAGGAAUACCUAUGGCGAAAGCAGGUAUCUGGGCCACAACUGACGCUGAGCUGCGAAAGCUAGGGGAGCAAACAGGAUUAGAUACCCCCGUAGUCC